CUAUACUUAAACUAGUAUUUCCUGUUGGUGAUGAAGAAACACAUCAGAGGCAUAGUUUUAAAGUCAAUAUUUUAAUGAAGAGAGUCGAUUGAUACCAUACCACCGAGUUAUGGUAAUAGGUGCCAGGCGCACCGGUUUGAGUGUGUCAAGAACUGCAACGCUGCUGGGUUUUCCCACAUUCAACAGUUUCCCGUGUGUAUGAAGAAUGGUCCACCACCCAAAGGACAUCCAGCCUUGACACUUGACACCACUGUGGGAAGCAUUGGAGUCAACAUGGGCCAACAUCCCUGUUGAAUCUAGACACAAAUUACAUUUAGAGUUGUGAAUAUUAUUCAUCAGUUCAUCUAACAGAUCAGUCAGGUAGAGCCACGCUCAGACUUGGGAAGGUCCGCUUGAAAUGGAAUUAAAAAUCAAUUCCUUGUAUAAAUGGCUGCCAACCUCUACUGUGAGGAGUCAGAGACAUCUCAGACUUGCAUGCAUUUUGAAUGGUUUCAUAAGUCUCAUAAUAAUUGUUUACACAAUAUACUGACCAUUAUAAAGAAACAACUGGAUCUCUAAGUACAUAUAUUAAAUAUAUAAUAAAUCAUUUAUACACCUACUAUUGUCUAACAAAGUUACUUAUUUUUCAUUUUCUUUACAAAUAUUUACCUUUCAUUUCCCAUUGUCAGUGAUAAGGCAGUACUCAUCUCUAUAUUAUGGGGCUGGUUGUCAUAAGGCAGUACUCCUCUCUAUAUUAUGGGGCUGGUUGUCAUAAGGCAGUACUCCUCUCUACAUUAUGGGGCUGGUUGUCAUAAGGCAGUACUCCUCUCUAUAUUAUGGGGCUGGUUGUCAUAAGGCAGUACUCCUCUCUACAUUAUGGGGCUGGUUGUGAUAAGGCAGAACUCAUCUCUACAUUAUGGGGCUGGUUGUGAUAAGGCAGUACUCAUCUCUAUAUUAUGGGGCUGGUUGUGAUAAGGCAGUACUCAUCUCUAUAUUAUGGGGCUGGUUGUGAUAAGGCAGUACUCACCUCUGCAUUAUGGGGCUGGUUGUGAUAAGGCAGUACUUACCUCUGCAUUAUGGAGCUGGUUGUGAUAAGGCAGUACUCACCUCUAUAUUAUGGGGCUGGUUGUGAUAAGGCAGUACUCAUCUCUAUAUUAUGGGGCUGGUUGUGAGAGAUGGAUGGAGGAAGAGAUGGAAGGAUGGAGGAUGAGAUGGAGGGAUGAGGGAGAGAUGGAGAGAUAUAAAGAGAGGGGGAUUACAGUAAGGUUAAGGAAGCAUGUUGAGAGAUAAAUUUGAUAAAUAUGUCCCUUGAGGUGUGAGGGGGAGAGGGAUGGAAGGAGACAGAAGGAUGCAGAGAGAGAUGACGAGGGACAGAGGGAGAUGACGAGGGACAGAGGGAGAUGACGAGGGACAGAGGGAGAUGACGAGGGACAGAGAGAGAUGACGAGGGACAGAGGGAGAUGACGAGGGACAGAGAGAGAUGACGAGGGACAGAGGGAGAUGACGAGGGACAGAGAGAGAUGACGAGGGACAGAGGGAGAUGACGAGGGAAAGAGAGAGAUGACGAGGGACAGAGAGAGAAGACGAGGGACAGAGGGAGAUGACGAGGGACAGAGGGAGAUGACGAGGGAAAGAUAGAGAUGACGAGGGACAGAGGGAGAUGACGAGGCACAGAGGGAGAUGACGAGGGAAAGAGAGAUAGAGGGAAAGGUGGUAAGAUGUUGCUGGAGGUUUGAAUGGGAGUAAGAGAGAAGAUGGAGGGAGGAAGAGAGAUGACAGAGGGAGGAAUAUGGAGGGAGGAAGGGAGAUGACAGAGGGAGGAAGAUGGAGGGAUGAAAGGAGAUGACAGAGGGAGGAAGAUGGAGGGAUGAAGGGAGAUGACAGAGGGAGGAAGAUGGAGGGAUGAAGGGAGAUGACAGAGGGAGGAAGAUGGAGGGAUGAAGGGAGAUGACAGAGGGAGGAAGAUGGAGGUAUGAAAGGAGAUGACAGAGGGAGGAAGAUGGAGGGAUGAAGGGAGAGACAUCAGGCGUUGUGGGGGCACUAGAGCGUAGUUUCCUGUCAACAAAGUUUAGUCUGAAGACCUUUCUUCGUAUCCUGUUGUAUAUUUUAUUAUAGGGAACACAGUCUAUAUAUCCUGUUGUAUAUUAUAUUAUAGGGAACACAGUCUAUAUAUCCUGUUGUAUAUUAUAUUAUAGAGAACACAGUCUAUAUAUCCUGUUGUAUAUUAUAUUAUAGGGAACACAGUCUAUAUAUCCUGUUGUAUAUUAUAUUAUAGAGAACACAGUCUAUAUAUCCUGUUGUAUAUUUUAUUAUAGGGAACACAGUCUAUAUAUCCUGUUGUAUAUUAUAUUAUAGGGAACACAGUCUAUAUAUCCUGUUGUAUAUUAUAUUAUAGAGAACACAGUCUAUAUAUCCUGUUGUA
RNAcentral lists this long non-coding RNA (2401 nucleotides) under Salmo salar (Atlantic salmon). Its description in RNAcentral is "lncRNA (ENSSSAG00000112926.1)". Lineage: Eukaryota; Metazoa; Chordata; Actinopteri; Salmoniformes; Salmonidae. The record is from RNAcentral.